UUGAGACUGUCUUGGAACAGUCAUUUGAAGUGACUGUCAAGGCCAAAAAAAAAAAAAAGAAGAAGAAUCAACAAAGACAACAAGAGUGGAGAUGAAGUGACUCUGCUAGGUGGAGUUAUUUAGCGAAGAGCAUUCUCUCCCUUUAUUAUGCAGCUGCCUCUGCUUUAAAAACAGAGCAGUGCUCCCUCCUUACCAGUCUUAAAGCAUAGGGAGUGGGAAUUCAGAAUUUUCACUCCAAUUCAAUCUUCUUCCCAUGGAAAUGGAAUAAUGGAAAAUGAUUCUGCAUUCAUCAGGCCUUGUAUAAUAGACACUGACUCCACUGUUGAUGUCUGACUUCUGAGGCUUUUAAGCCUCUUCUGCUUGUGCCCCCCAUGUGGGUGAACUUAUAGAAAGCUCCAGCACUCCAUCCUUUGAUGCCAGCAGGAAGGUCAAACCCCACCAGCCGCUGCUCACCUGCAGGAACCGCGCACCCUGGCCUCACCUCCACCACAAUAAAAACCCACAGCUGUUUCCUCUCCUUGCUCUCUCAAGCCAUUUUGGAUAAACUUGGGGCUUGCCCUGCUCUCUCCAGAAAGACUCAUUAUAAACUUUUACAAGCUUUGUGGCAGAAUUCUUGGUUGAAAGUUGUGAAAGGAUUUUGAUCUAAAAUGGAACCAGAGGAUGUGAAACGGAGAAUCUCACGCAAGUGCCCUCAGAAGAACAGACCUUAAGAACUGAGAGACUGAUUUCCUGUAAAUGCCUGAUUCACAGAAGACGGAGACUUAUCUCCUGACCAGUGAACGUCCACCAAGAGUCUCUCCCCAUCCUCAAGCCAGGGAACUUACUGCUUGGACUCUGGCUGGACUUCCCCCCGCUUUGUAUUCCCUGCCCAUAAAUACAGCCCGCCCCAAACCCUCCAUGGACAAGCCUGUAGUUUGCUACAGCAUGUGUUUCCCAGAUUGCAAUUCCUCUGCUAAUACCAAAUAAACUCAAUUUCUGGUAAUUUGAGCUUGUUUGUUUACUUCUUUAUUUAGGUUGGCAAAGUUAUAGAAGCCAAACUCAAACUAGCUUAGGCAAAAUAGGAAAUCCACUUACACGGGUAACUGGGACGGACAAGGGUGGAAGCAGGAUUCAGGCACAGCUCUCUCCAAGGUUUCGCAUAUCCUCAGGGCUCACUCUGGGUCCCUAUCUCAGCUCUUUUCCCUCUGUACGCUGCCUCUUUUUCUCUUAAGCACACAGUUGUUUCAUGUAGCCAGGAAAGAUGGCCUUUUGCAGUUCCA
Equus asinus (donkey) is the source of this 1259-nucleotide long non-coding RNA. The record is from Ensembl. NCBI's taxonomy places the organism in Eukaryota, Metazoa, Chordata, Mammalia, Perissodactyla, Equidae.